Molecule: long non-coding RNA, 1510 nt
Filed under: Nicotiana tabacum (common tobacco)
Lineage: Eukaryota; Viridiplantae; Streptophyta; Magnoliopsida; Solanales; Solanaceae
Description: long non-coding RNA (NTAB_LNC015449)
Source: RNAcentral
GUAGGGGCACCACAUAUACUCUUCCCUUUUUUUAAAUUACCUCGCGAUUUAGUCCCAUGAGCUUCAAGGCUGGGAGCUGAUAAACAAAAUUGUCAACAUGUUUAAAACCGUACAAUGAAGCCCGAAUAGGUACAACGCAAAUCACGGAAGAGCACAAAGUAUUCAUGUAUUUCAGCUUAUAGACACAUUUAAGAUAAAGAACAUAUAGCAUCAUUGCUGUGAAGAGAUUAGUAAUGAAUGUUUUUAUAAGAUUAAAAUUGAAGAAAACCUUUAUUUUUGACGGCCGCCGGCUCAGCAUCGUGUCUUUCACAAGGUAUAGCAGAUGUCGAACCUAAUGUACAAAUAAUUAAUAAAUAUAUUAAAGCACAACAAACUCAAAGUGAAACAAUAUAUUUUCUGUUACCUACCGAGUUGAAACAUAGAGAAAUAGUCAAUAACAUUCUUUUCUUUGUUUGCGUCAGCGGCUGUCCAAUCAAAUGAAGAUAUAUUAGUGACGAAACAUAUUAGUUUCAUAGUAUCGUUACCAACAUAAGAUGGCUCACGUAUCACCCAGUGGCGGCCCGACGGAUUUUGUGACUUAAAGUUAAAUUUUAUGAGGGGCCUUAAUUUUUUUAAAAACAAUUAUUAUUUAUUUGAAGUCUAUUUUUUUUUUAGCUUUUCUUAGAUACAAAUUUAUUAAUAAUUUUCUUAUAAUCAAUAACUCCUAAUAAAUAUUUCUCAAUUGAUAAUAUAGUUAAUCCAUUUAACCUUUUUGUGACAUUGUUGAUCUUAGGUAAGUUUUGAAAACUUCAUUCCACUGAAGCAACGAUAACACGAGUUAUUAACAUUAUUCCACAAGCAAUUUAGGCAUUUGAAAAAGAAUUAAAUUUUUUUAUUUUAUUAAGCGUAUCAAUUAAACUGCUAUCUUCUAAUUGUACUAUUUUUCUUAAUACUUUUGUCAAAAAAUAAAUCUAAACCAUUAAAUACGAAUUGAUUAUUAUGCUUUAAAGAACAUUCAAGAUUAAGACAAUAUUUUUCAAAUUUCAACAUCUAGUGAUCUUAGUUUUUACCGCCAAAUAGAAAACCAAAAAUAUUUUCUUAUGCUGCUAAUUGUUCAAAUCUAUUUUGAAGUGAAAAAAUAGCCUUGUCUAUUAUGUAUAAAAGUAAUCAACUCUAAAGUACUCUUCGAAAGAUUUUGAGAUUUUAUUAUCAACAUUCGCAUCAAUUUGUUACUUCCUAUAUAUCACACGUUUCUUAUGAAAUUCGGGCUCGAUAUUCAUUUCAAGUGCAAUUUCCUUGGUAGAAUUCAUAGCAGUGGCAAAUCCUUCUUAUCUAUUUUUGUUAAAGAAAAAAAUCAAAAAAUUUCACUUUAUACAACUUUUUAAAAAAGUUAUACAUAGUUUAUUAGGUGUAACAAAAAAUGGGGCCCCAAAAAUAGGGGGCAAAAAACGGUUGCUUUACUUACUUUAUGGAAUGGCCGCCCCUGGUAUCACCAGAGUUCUUUGCUUAGUCAAGUUAGCCCCAGCUUUGA